GACGAACGCUGGCGGCGUGCCUAAUACAUGCAAGUUGAGCGCUGAAGGUUGGUACUUGUACCAACUGGAUGAGCAGCGAACGGGUGAGUAACGCGUGGGGAAUCUGCCUUUGAGCGGGGGACAACAUUUGGAAACGAAUGCUAAUACCGCAUAAAAACUUUAAACACAAGUUUUAAGUUUGAAAGAUGCAAUUGCAUCACUCAAAGAUGAUCCCGCGUUGUAUUAGCUAGUUGGUGAGGUAAAGGCUCACCAAGGCGAUGAUACAUAGCCGACCUGAGAGGGUGAUCGGCCACAUUGGGACUGAGACACGGCCCAAACUCCUACGGGAGGCAGCAGUAGGGAAUCUUCGGCAAUGGACGAAAGUCUGACCGAGCAACGCCGCGUGAGUGAAGAAGGUUUUCGGAUCGUAAAACCCUGUUGGUAGAGAAGAACGUUGGUGAGAGUGGAAAGCUCAUCAAGUGACGGUAACUACCCAGAAAGGGACGGCUAACUACGU
RNAcentral lists this ribosomal RNA (496 nucleotides) under uncultured bacterium. RNAcentral describes it as "partial 16S ribosomal RNA". It matches the Rfam family "Bacterial small subunit ribosomal RNA", at positions 28 to 506 of the family's 1533-position model. The record is from RNAcentral.